GAAGGGUCUAUGAUUUGGCACAGAUCUAUUCUGGACACAGAGGCAGCAGACUGACACAUUUUGCCUGUGAACUGGAGAGGGAGGCUGGAAAUACCACCCAGCCCGUCAGGGGAUUCACUCUGAACAGAGUUCAAAGGUUUGGCUUUACCUCCUCCAAAUGGUGCCCAGAUGACCCGCCGUAUGGCCUUGACCCAGUCGUCCAUAUCGCUCUGGGAGUUUGCCAUGAGCAGGAAGGAUUCAUGGCUGAUGGGUGCCCGAUCCUUCUCUCCUGUUCCGCCUGCAGGGACGCACAAGGAAAGGAAAAAGAAGCGUACAAGUCCACUCCGUCCAUGUCAAAGAGCUUCUGGAUGCACUUUGGAACAGCUGCAAUCCCCAUCAAACUGGGGCUCAGUCACCGUUUACCUUCCAGUGUCAGCUCCACGCUGUUCUGGGCUGUUUUCCAGUCAUUCCUCGGAUCCUCGACUCACCCACUCUGCAAUACUCACGUCAUCGGACGCUGGUCUUCUCUGUUUAAUCUCAGCCGCGACUCAUACUCCGCCUGCCUGCCCUAAUGUCUUCACUAUUCGGA
Molecule: long non-coding RNA, 568 nt
Organism: Oreochromis niloticus (Nile tilapia)
Lineage: Eukaryota; Metazoa; Chordata; Actinopteri; Cichliformes; Cichlidae
Exons: 4
Source: RefSeq, a predicted model, not a curated record